RNAcentral lists this transfer RNA (71 nucleotides) under bacterium. RNAcentral's name for it is "tRNA-Gln". It matches the Rfam family "tRNA". From Rfam's summary of the family: Transfer RNA (tRNA) molecules are approximately 80 nucleotides in length. Their secondary structure includes four short double-helical elements and three loops (D, anti-codon, and T loops). Further hydrogen bonds mediate the characteristic L-shaped molecular structure. tRNAs have two regions of fundamental functional importance: the anti-codon, which is responsible for specific mRNA codon recognition, and the 3' end, to which the tRNAs corresponding amino acid is attached (by aminoacyl-tRNA synthetases). tRNAs cope with the degeneracy of the genetic code in two manners: having more than one tRNA (with a specific anti-codon) for a particular amino acid; and 'wobble' base-pairing, i.e. permitting non-standard base-pairing at the 3rd anti-codon position. The record is from RNAcentral.
UGCGGGGUCUGCUAAUGGUAGGCAUACGGACUCUGAAUCCGUCAAUCAUGGUUCGAAUCCAUGCCCCGCAG